This 253-nucleotide ribosomal RNA is filed under the name uncultured bacterium. RNAcentral's name for it is "partial 16S ribosomal RNA". It matches the Rfam family "Bacterial small subunit ribosomal RNA", at positions 524 to 776 of the family's 1533-position model. The record is from RNAcentral.
UCCGUAGGGACCAAGCGUUGUCCGGAAUCAUUGGGCGUAAAGAGCGUGUAGGCGGCUUGUUAAGUCUUGCGUGAAAUCUCGGGGCUCAACCCCGAGCGGUCGUGAGAAACUGGCAGGCUAGAGUGCGGGAGAGGAGAGUGGAAUUCCUGGUGUAGCGGUGAAAUGCGCAGAUAUCAGGAAGAACACCCGUGGCGAAGGCGGCUCUCUGGAACGCAACUGACGCUGAGACGCGAAAGCGUGGGGAGCAAACAGG